This 493-nucleotide long non-coding RNA is filed under the name Mytilus galloprovincialis (Mediterranean mussel). Lineage: Eukaryota; Metazoa; Mollusca; Bivalvia; Mytilida; Mytilidae. The record is from RNAcentral.
GUGGUCCGCUUUACCUGUGUUGUCAACUCAGUUGGAAAAAUGUCACCUGCUGCCGUCUAUACGCGUUGACAGAGUCGGAGCCAAAUCGAUUUGUAAGAACAAGAUAUUUUGAUCCGACAAAUGUCACAGACUUGUCAAACAGAAACACUGCUGUCUACGUCAGAAACUACACAAAUCAAUAUGAUAAGUAACGAGAAGACUCGGGAUGCUGAGCUUGGACUGGUUGAUGAUGCGAAAGUUAUAGGUAAUGCAAAACUUAGAACCUGUAUGCCCAGGAUAUGAGAUAGACCACAUCGUUAAUAGAGAUUCAAUUGAAAUCAGUCAAAAGUUUAUAAAUAGUUCACGUGUAAAUGUAAUUUAAUAUUAAUCAAUUGCAACGUUGCAAACGACAUGAACAUAAACUGUGUCCUGUUGCAGAGGAGGCAGUUUCAAAAGGCACUGGUAGGAGUCAGUCUCAACUUAUUAAAACAAUAUCAGGAUGUGCACACACCCC